Molecule: ribosomal RNA, 498 nt
Filed under: uncultured bacterium
Lineage: Bacteria
Description: partial 16S ribosomal RNA
Rfam family: Bacterial small subunit ribosomal RNA
Source: RNAcentral
AUUGAACGCUGGCGGCAUGCCUUACACAUGCAAGUCGAACGGUAACGCGGGGCAACCUGGCGACGAGUGGCGAACGGGUGAGUAAUGUAUCGGAACGUGCCCAGUUGUGGGGGAUAACUGCUCGAAAGAGCAGCUAAUACCGCAUACGACCUGAGGGUGAAAGCGGGGGAUCGCAAGACCUCGCGCAGUUGGAGCGGCCGAUAUCAGAUUAGGUAGUUGGUGGGGUAAAGGCUCACCAAGCCAACGAUCUGUAGCUGGUCUGAGAGGACGACCAGCCACACUGGGACUGAGACACGGCCCAGACUCCUACGGGAGGCAGCAGUGGGGAAUUUUGGACAAUGGGGGCAACCCUGAUCCAGCCAUGCCGCGUGCGGGAAGAAGGCCUUCGGGUUGUAAACCGCUUUUGUCAGGGAAGAAAAGACUCCUGUUAAUACCGGGGGUUCAUGACGGUACCUGAAGAAUAAGCACCGGCUAACUACGUGCCAGCCGCCGCGGUAA